UACGUAGGGUGCGAGCGUUGUCCGGAAUUAUUGGGCGUAAAGAGCUCGUAGGCGGUUUGUCGCGUCGGCCGUGAAAUCUCCACGCUUAACGUGGAGCGUGCGGUCGAUACGGGCAGACUUGAGUUCGGUAGGGGAGACUGGAAUUCCUGGUGUAGCGGUGAAAUGCGCAGAUAUCAGGAGGAACACCGGUGGCGAAGGCGGGUCUCUGGGCCGAUACUGACGCUGAGGAACGAAAGCGUGGGGAGCGAACAGG
Molecule: ribosomal RNA, 253 nt
Filed under: uncultured bacterium
Lineage: Bacteria
Description: partial 16S ribosomal RNA
Rfam family: Bacterial small subunit ribosomal RNA
Source: RNAcentral